AUUGAACGCUGGCGGCAUGCCUAACACAUGCAAGUCGAACGGUAACGCGAGGAGCUUGCUCCUUGGCGACGAGUGGCGGACGGGUGAGUAAUACUUGGGAAUCUGCCCAGUAGUGGGGGACAACAUUCGGAAACGGAUGCUAAUACCGCAUACGCACUACGGUGGAAAGUGGGGGACCUUCGGGCCUCACGCUAUUGGAUGAGCCCAAGUCGGAUUAGCUUGUUGGUGAGGUAAUGGCUCACCAAGGCGACGAUCCGUAGCUGGUCUGAGAGGACGAUCAGCCACACUGGGACUGAGACACGGCCCAGACUCCUACGGGAGGCAGCAGUGGGGAAUAUUGGACAAUGGGCGCAAGCCUGAUCCAGCAAUGCCGCGUGUGUGAAGAAGGCCUGCGGGUUGUAAAGCACUUUCAGUAGAGAAGAAAAGCUUACGGUUAAUACCCGUGAGUCUUGACGUAACCUACAGAAGAAGCACCGGCUAACUCCGUG
Molecule: ribosomal RNA, 488 nt
Filed under: uncultured bacterium
Lineage: Bacteria
Description: bacterial SSU rRNA
Rfam family: Bacterial small subunit ribosomal RNA
Source: RNAcentral